GGGACGCGGGUGGUGCUGUGGGUAGAACCUCAGCGCCUAGGGCUUGCCGAUCGCAUGGUCGGCGGUUCGAAUCCCCGCGGCGGGGUGAGCUCCCGUCUUUCGGUCCCAGCUCCUGCCCACCUAGCAGUUCAAAAGCACCCCUAAGUGCAAGUAGAUAAAUAGGUACCGCUUUAUAGCGGGAAGGUAAACGGCGUUUCCGUGUGCUGCGCUGGUGCCGGCUCGCCAGAGCAGCCUCGUCACGCUGGCCACGUGACCCGGAAGUGUCUCCGGACAGUGCUGGCUCCAGGCCUCUUAAGUGAGAUGGGCGCACAACCCUAGAGUCGGACACGACUGGCCCGUACGGGCAGGGGCACCUUUACCUUUACCUAUCUUUGCUGGAACAGCUGAGGGAUUCUGACACAAAAUGUGCAACUCUCAAUGGAGGCCAGCUAGGCCUCUGUAACAUGGGCAACUCAGUGGUCAGGCCAGGACAUAAGGGCUAAAGUGGUCCUUACAGCAUCCUGAACCCAAGCUGAUAAGAGCUUUGUAUGAUCUGUCUCUGUUACCAAGACUAAACUGCUAACCGGCUGUUUUUAACUUUAUUCACUGGUUUGCCAGUAUCCCAAAGGAUCAAAGCACGAGUACCAUGAGCCCAAAACCCAAUAAUGGAUGACCAGCUGAAUCUCAAGGGGAUUUCCAGAGUCCAUUGUGCUAUGUCUGCAUUGGCUUGACUGCAUUGGCGCUCCGUUUCCAAACUCAUUUCAAAGUACUGUUUUUGAGCUUUAAAGCUGCCUGCACCUCAGGACCCCAGUACCUCAAGGAUUGCCUGUCCCCACAUGACCAUCAUCAGAGUCUCUUCUCCGUGAGCCUCCUGUGAGGGAAGUGAGGUGAGUGGCAGCCUGAGAACCUGCUCUUUCAGGAAUGGCUCCCCAUUUGUGGAAUGCUCUCCCCCUGGGAAGCAUGUGUGAUGCCAUCAUUAUUCUAUAACCAGACCCUUGGCUGCUAAAUAAUCUAUGGCCUUUUAAAUGUGUUUGUGGGAGGAGGUUUUUUUUGGGGGUGUUCUUAUUAUGAUAUGCAUUUUGUGUUUUUCCAUUUUGUAUUUUACUGCUGAAAACCGCCCUGUGAUCUUCGGAUGACAGGCAGUGUAUGAAUUUUAAUCACCAUCAUCAUCAUCAGCUUUUAGGCACCAGACUUAAGGCGUCUCUGUUUGCUCCAGCUUCUAGUCAUUAAUUUAGAUUGCACUGAGUUGUGAUUUCUGGCCAGCUAUGUGGUGGUCAUCUUUUUAAUGGAGUGGCGUAGGAUUUGUCCUUUUUAUAGUUAUUGGUGGACGAGCACUUCUAGGAAUUUUGUUCUGUUCUCUUCUCCUACCCCAAGAAACACCUAUGACAGCAGGGACCAAAAGGAAGACCAAACUGAACCUAAAGUUGCCUUGGCAGUUUAGUUAAGCGUGGCAACUUUUCAAGUUGUUAGCACUUAAGUGUCUUUGCAAGGAAGGAGGAUGGGGAGAAAACCAGAACAACUUGGCCACACCCAUGGAACCUCCUAGCAGCCUCACCAGGUCUAGUGCUUCCAUUCACACUACUAAGGUUGCAGGAGGGAUCUCUCCGCAGCAUGGCUUGCCAUAAACCACAAGGGCUGCAACCCGAUGGAGAACCAGACAUCUCCCAGUCAUUUGCAGAAGCCAUUGGGCUGUGAAAUCCUUUAUGGAGCUGAGCCUAUAUAUUUGUACCCGCACAUAGUAUACUUUUACUUCAGUUGACUUAUUUAUAUUUUUUUAACAAAAAUUAAAUGCUGUCUUCCCAACAUCUGUCAAAAGCAGCUUAAAACACAUCUAUAAUAAUUAAAUUCAUAUUUAGGAAAAAUUACAUAUUCAGCCAAUUAAAAAUAUCUAUCCUUCUAGCAGAUGCCAAUUGGUGUUACAUUUCUGAUCAAUUUUAGACAGAGUCAAUACAUUGCCAAGCACACCCCCAGUCUCUGAGUAGUGAAUUUUUUCAUGGGAGCUUGCAAGUGCCUUGGGUUUAGUUUCUAUAGUAUGAAGGCUGGUAGUGAUUGUAGUGUUUCUGUGAUAUGGUUUUGUUUAGCGCGCGCGCACACACACACACACACACUGUAGACUGAGCAUAAUAUGGAAGGGCUCUCAACAUUAACAAAGCCAACAGAUCUUACUAUUCUCCCAUUAGGUUUCUAGGGGAGCUUUCAGACUCUUAGUACUAGAUCCUCACAGAGAGAGAAAUCAAGUCUCUCUGUCUUUCCAACUCCCAGUUACUAGCCUGACUGGUUCUUUUGUUCUUCUGCACACUCAGUCCCACACCUUGAUGGCAUCACCUCCAGCCAGGUGAGAGAGGGGAGAAUACCUUCCUGCCUAAGCUCACCUCCUGGAAAGAUUUCCAGCUAUUUUCUGCGGAACAGUUUAGCCCAAGCAUAACAUAACAACAUCUGAUACUUCACAGACUUGGCUAUAGCUAUUAACACAGAACAUAGAACAUAGAAUCAUAGAGUUGGAAGAGACCACAAGGGCCAUCGAGUCCAACCCCGUGCCAAGCAGGAAACACCAUCAGAGCACUCCUGACAUAUGGUUGUCAAACCUCUGCUUAAAGACCUCCAAAGAAGGAGAUUCCACCACACUCCUUGGCAGCAAAUUCCACUGUCGAACAGCUCUUACUGUCAGGAAGUUCUUCCUAAUGUUUAGGUGGAAUCUUCUUUCUUGUAGUUUGGAUCCAUUGCUCUGUGUCCGCUUCUCUGGAGCAGCAGAAAACAACCUUUCUCCCUCCUCUAUGUGACAUCCUUUUAUAUAUUUGAACAUGGCUAUCAUAUCACCCCUUAACCUCCUCUUCUCCAGGCUAAACAUGCCCAGCUCCCUUAGCCGUUCCUCAUAAGGCAUCAUUUCCAGGCCUUUGACCAUUUUGGUUGCCCUCCUCUGGACACGGUCCAGUUUGUCAGUGUGCUUCUUGAACUGUGGUGCCCAGAACUGGACACAGUACUCCAGGUGAGGUCUGACCAGAGCAGAAUACAGUGGCACUAUUACUUCCCUUGAUCUAGAUGCUAUACUCCUAUUGAUGCAGCCCAGAAUUGCAUUGGCUUUUUUAGCUGCCGCAUCGCACUGUUGGCUCAUGUCAAGUUUGUGGUCAACCAAGACUCCUAGAUCCUUUUCACAUGUACUGCUCUCAAGCCAGGUGUCACCCAUCUUGUAUUUGUGCCUCUCAUUUUUUUUUGCCCAAGUGCAAUACUUUACAUUUCUCCCUGUUAAAAUUCAUCUUGUUUGUUUUUGCCCAGUUCUCUAAUCUGUCAAGGUCGUUUUGAAGUGUGAUCCUGUCCUCUGGGGUGUUAGCCACCCCUCCCAGUUUGGUGUCAUCUGCAAAUUUGAUCAGGAUGCCCUUGAGUCCAUCAUCCAAGUCGUUGAUAAAGAUGUUGAAUAAGACCGGGCCCAAGACAGAACCCUGUGGCACCCCACUAGUCACUCUUCUCCAGGAUGAAGAGGAACCAUUGAUGAGCACCCUUUGGGUUCGGUCAGUCAGCCAGUUACAAAUCCACUGAGUGGUAGCAUAGUCAAGACCGCAUUUUACCAGCUUCUUUACAAGAAUAUCAUGGGGCACCUUGUCAAAUGCCUUGCUGAAAUCAAGGUAGGCUACAUCCACUGCGUUCCCUUCAUCUACGUCACAGACAGACUGGUUCAACCACUUUUCACGGUCUCUUUUUCUGCAGAAUCCACUCUUGCAGCAGCUACAAGAUCACAGGAAUGGAGGGGAAUCCUGAGAGCACAACCAAACUAACCCCUAGUCAUAGAAUCAUAAAUAUGUAGAGUUGGGAGGGAUCCCAAGGGUGAUCGAAUCCAACCCCCUGCUGUGAAGGGACCUCAACUAAACCAUACAUGACUAGUGGCCAUCCAACUUCUGCUUAAAAACCUACAGCAACUUUAAAAAAAAACUCAAAACCUACACCACAUCUUUUUUGCUGGGUUAAGAUGGAUUUCAAGGUCUUAGGUUAAAUAUUUUUCUGUGGGGAAAAUACUGGUGUUAAACGCACCAAGUAAUUGUAAUGUUCAAAGCUGCCUCUUAACACUCCAGCUGUGCACUGCAUCAAAUGAAUUGACAUGGGGAAAACAGGAGACAUUCACAGAAUAUUUAGGUCUGGGAACAUGAAUUCUGUUGCCCACCAAAAAAAAGGCAAAAAGCUGAUGUACUCAUUUCUCCUGUCCAGCCACAUUCCGGUCUAACAAUCGCUUGAUGCUAUUGAGUCCUUAAGAGAGGAGGUAUUAUGUUUUAUCAGGCAUAAACAUUGUGCUCUGAGCACUUGGGAAAUGUGAUAGCCCUGCAGCAGAAGCACAAAGGUGAGGAUUUGGAGCUUUAAUUGCACAAUCAAUAGUUUAGAUUCAAGAGCCUCCAUAAAAGGAUGUCUGAUGAAAUAUUGCAGUUCAGAAAUAAGUUCCUGAAUCCAGUAUUGAUACUGCGAUAUUGCGUUUAUUACCGUACAGAACACAGAAAUCAUGUGGCCUGUUCCAGCAGCGCGAAGAAAUUUGGUUCAGUUCGCCUUUUGAUGCAAACCUACCUAGUUUCCAAAAUUCACCCUUCUCCUGAUUUUGCAAUGCAGUUCUCCAACCAGAAAAUAUGGACAGAUGCAUAUAUUUGGGGGAAAUGUGUGUAAAAAUGAAUAUUAGUGAAAACGGCAUGAGCCCAUUGCUGU
RNAcentral lists this long non-coding RNA (4659 nucleotides) under Podarcis lilfordi (Lilford's wall lizard). Lineage: Eukaryota; Metazoa; Chordata; Lepidosauria; Squamata; Lacertidae. The record is from RNAcentral.